GCCACUGCUAUUGGGGUCCGGCUAAGCCAUGCGAGUGGAGGGCGUCCCGCAAGGGAUGGCCCCGCAGACGGCUCAGUAACACGUCGUCAACCCACCUUAGGGUGGGGGACAACCUCGGGAAACUGAGGAUAAUCUCCCAUAGGCGGGGGAGGCUGGAAUGCGCCCCCGCUGAAAGCUCAGGCGCCCUAGGACGGGACGGCGGCCUAUCAGGUAGUUGGUGGUGUGACG
This 228-nucleotide ribosomal RNA is filed under the name uncultured archaeon. RNAcentral's name for it is "partial 16S ribosomal RNA". It matches the Rfam family "Archaeal small subunit ribosomal RNA", at positions 23 to 246 of the family's 1478-position model. The record is from RNAcentral.